Molecule: ribosomal RNA, 489 nt
Filed under: Triticum aestivum (bread wheat)
Lineage: Eukaryota; Viridiplantae; Streptophyta; Magnoliopsida; Poales; Poaceae
Description: partial small subunit ribosomal RNA
Source: RNAcentral
AUGGAGUAUCAGCCAAUCAUCUCUGCACUCAACGUCCACACCAAGCCUAUCACCAUCGAAGCGCUCUUCUCGAUGGUGGCAAACUUCGAUCAACACAUCGAGAUGUUCCAUGGGAACGACGCUGGUGGCUUUAAGUCGUCGGCGAACGCUGCCUCCAGGGGUCGCUCGGGCGGUGGCAAAGGCGGCUAUCGCAACCAGAAAAACGGGGGUCGCGGCGGCGGCUAUUCUGGUGGUGGCGGCCAAAACCCUAGCGGCGGCUACCCUGGCGCGGGUAGCGGUGGAUACAACCACGGUGGCGGCCGCGGCUACAACAACAAUCACGGCAACGACGGUGGUCAAGGUGGUGGCUGUCGGUGUCAAAACCGGCAGAUCUCGGGUAGGGGGUCCCGAACUGUGCGUCUAAGGAUGAUGGUAACAGGAGACGGGGGACACAAUGUUUACCCAGGUUCGGGCCCUCUCUAUGGAGGUAAUACCCUACUUCCUGCUUGA